UACGUAGGGUGCAAGCGUUAUCGGAAUUACUGGGCGUAAAGCGUGCGCAGGCGGCUUUGCAAGACAGAUGUGAAAUCCCCGGGCUCAACCUGGGAACUGCAUUUGUGACUGCAAGGCUGGAGUACGGCAGAGGGGGAUGGAAUUCCGCGUGUAGCAGUGAAAUGCGUAGAUAUGCGGAGGAACACCGAUGGCGAAGGCAAUCCCCUGGGCCUGUACUGACGCUCAUGCACGAAAGCGUGGGGAGCAAACAGG
Molecule: ribosomal RNA, 252 nt
Filed under: uncultured bacterium
Lineage: Bacteria
Description: partial 16S ribosomal RNA
Rfam family: Bacterial small subunit ribosomal RNA
Source: RNAcentral